AACCUAUUAUCUCAAAUGGUAGAGCACUAUGCAGAUGCAUAGGGGAUGUAGGUUCGAUUCCUACAUAGAUUG
This 72-nucleotide transfer RNA is filed under the name Spinacia oleracea (spinach). It matches the Rfam family "tRNA". From Rfam's summary of the family: Transfer RNA (tRNA) molecules are approximately 80 nucleotides in length. The record is from Rfam by way of RNAcentral. Lineage: Eukaryota; Viridiplantae; Streptophyta; Magnoliopsida; Caryophyllales; Amaranthaceae.